Molecule: RNA transcript, 1704 nt
Organism: Hippocampus zosterae (dwarf seahorse)
Lineage: Eukaryota; Metazoa; Chordata; Actinopteri; Syngnathiformes; Syngnathidae
Gene: calcoco2
Gene name: calcium binding and coiled-coil domain 2
Exons: 12
Source: RefSeq, a predicted model, not a curated record
AUGCACAACUCCACCAGCGGCUUCUCCCAGGUGGUGUUCAGGGACAUCCCGCACUCGUACCCUCCAGCCACCUCCGUCAGCUGCUGCUACACUCUCGCUCCACACUUCCAGCCCAGUCCACGCGACUGGGUGGGCAUCUUUAAGGUUGGGUGGAGCACCAUAAAGGACUAUCACACAUUUGUGUGGGUGGAGUCGUACGGGGACUCGAGCCAAGAACAGUCAUUGAAGAGGCAUGCUUAUUUUAAAGAUUAUUACCUGCCCAAGGAUGAGUUGGACUUCUAUCAGUUCUGCUACGUGGACAGCUCGGGUCAAGUGUGUGGCGCCAGCACACCCUUUAGCUUCAAAGCGCAGGAUGUCAACAAUGAGCAAAGUGCGGCAAACAGCUCAGACGACCUGCUGGUCAUUACCACACAGGAACAAGUGGAGCAGAGCAAUCGGGAGAUUGCGUCGCUGAAAGACGAGGCCCAGUGCAUCCAACAGCAAAAUGCAGAGUUGGAAAAAGCUCUGCGGGAGGAGAGACGAGAAGCCGCCAUCAUCAAGGACAAACACGAUGAACUCGUGUCAGAACUGCGUCAGACGAAAGAGCACAAAGAGAGUCUUCUGUGCACUUUGCAGGAGCAACAUGAAGAAAUCCAACAUUUAAAGGAAGAGAUGUUGGUCCACAUGGCCAAUCAGGUGGAACUUCAGAAGCAGAACCUUCCUGAAUGCACACAGUCAGAUCCAAAUUCAGGUGAUGACAACGGACUGUUGCUACAAACUGAGCUGCAACUCCGAAAAGCUCAUGCGGUGAUUGCGGACAAGGAUGCCGUGAUCAAGGAGGAGAAGAACUUGUCAUCCAUGUUGAAGCGCCACAACCAGGAGCUUGCUCAAGAGAACCAAAAACUCACACGUGAGAUUGAGGAGCUGCGCAGGACUGUGGAUGAGCUUCAAAUGCGUACGAGCACCCACUCGGAGGAGCAGAAUGCCACCACCACGACCCACUGUGCCACAACACAGCCGGAUGCUGCGGAGGCAUGUGACCUGUCAUAUGACAACAUACCUGUAGUGAGCAUUGUCGAAGAUGAUGAGGAAGACCAGCCGGCCCUGAUGUGCCGCCAUUGCCUGGAGAGCUUCCCGGGAAGCACGCGGGCGGAAGUGGAGUGUCAUGAGCGCAAUCAUCAAGUGUGUCCCUUCUGUACGCUCAUAUGCGACGACAUGGAGCAGAACGUGUUCGAAGACCACGUCUACAGCCACGAGAUGUGACGGUGAAAAGCACCUGCUCGGUGUUCCUAAAAAGAAGUCAAUGAUUGAUUGUUAAGAAGUGGAAAGACACUGUUGACAUGGACUCACCAGGACGUGACUCGCUCGCUCAUUCUCCCACUUGAGAUUGUCCUUGAUCUCACUCACCGUCACGUAGCCCUUCUUCUGCAAAUAAGUGACAAGCACAACAGAACGAUUCUGACAGGCAAGCGGAUCAACUCCAAUAGUGGCACACAUCUCCUGAAACUGGACCCGGAACUGGGAACUCUUGCGGAUUUCCUGUUUAUGCUUGCUGGCAAACUCUUCCAGGUGGGACUUGAACAUGUCCAGCUGCUUGGACAUCUGACAGAGAGAUGAAGUAACGCAAUUAAAAUGUUGCUGUUGGAGCAUGAGUGCAACAGCAAGAAGCAUCACCUGUAAUGUGGACACGCUUCAAGUAAUAAAGGGAAUUACUUGCCUGAACUA